Salvia hispanica is the source of this 4754-nucleotide non-coding RNA. The record is from RefSeq and is a predicted model, not a curated record. Lineage: Eukaryota; Viridiplantae; Streptophyta; Magnoliopsida; Lamiales; Lamiaceae.
AAUUCCAACACAAAUAAACCCAAAUAAUAGUAGAAACGGCGCCUCUCCCUCCCUCCCUCCGCCAAAUCGGCACUGCACGCACUCCCUUUCUAUCUCUCUCUUUCUCUCUCAAUUGGCGGAAUUGACUCGUUUUUCCCCACACCAAGAGUCGUAGUCCUCGCAGAUUUCGCGCCAUCGGUCUGCUCGCCCGGAGAAGAAAGCCGAGGACGCGGCUGUCUCGGAGUUUGGUCCCCGACGCGGCUGCUACUCGCCAUCAUCAGACGCCGUCGUCUCAUGCAGCAGGUCGCUGGUCCGGAUUCGUGGCCGCUGACUCGCGACCUUGCCGCCGCCGCCGCUCUCUAAUUGAAUUGAAGUAUUGUGAUUUGUUUCCCCGCCGCUCUCCGCUAUUCUCCACCGCCUGUUUCUCUCAGGCUCCAAGGUAUGGAUGGUACUAUAUCACAAGACUUUAUUCCUAAGAUAGGAAUGGAGUUUGAAACAGAAGUUGAGGCAUAUGAUUUUUAUAUGAAAUAUGCUAUGGCAACAGGUUUUGGAACUCGAAAAAUAGCUGCUCAUAAGGAUCCAAUUACAGGCAACCUUUUGGACAUUAGUUUUUGUUGUUGUAGACAAGGUUUUAGAGCAAGAGACAAUCGAGUUGUUACAGUCAAGAGACCUCGUCCUGAAAUUAGGUGCGGAUGUAAGGCUAUGUUGAAAAUCAACGGUAGAUACAGUGGAAAGUUUCGUAUUGUGAAAUUUGUUGAAGAACACAAUCAUGAAUUGUGUGAUCCAGACAAAUCUUACAUGUUUAGAUGUUAUCGGCAAAUGUCUAAUGUUCAACGAACUCAAGUUGAUGUUGCUCAAAGUUGUGGGUUGCCUCCAAAGAGAACUCUGGAUGUAAUGGCAAAAGAAUCUGGUGGAAUUCAACAUCUUGGUUUCACUCAUAUUGAUGUGAAGAAUUCUUUGAGAACUAAUAGGACUUUGGAGAUUAAACAAGGCGAUAGUGGAGGUGUUUUACAAUAUUUACAGAGGAUGAUAAGUGAGGAUCCACACUUUUACUAUGCGAUACAGUUGGACGUGGAAGAUCUAAUUACCAAUAUAUUUUGGACCGAUGGUAGAAUGAUACAAGAUUUUGGUCAUUUUGGGGAUGUUGUUUGCUUUGAUACUACCUGUAGAAAAUAUCGUGAUGGUAGACCAAUUGCUUUGUUCGUCGGCGUAAAUCAUCAUAAACAAACAAUUGUGUUUGGUGCAACAUUAUUAUACGAUGAAACAAUUGAAACCUUUGAGUGGUUGUUUAGUGCAUUUGAAGAUGCCAUGAUGGGAAAACGCCCAAAAACUAUCUUAACAGAUCAAGAUCAAGCAAUGAGCGUUGCUUUAGCUUCCAAGUGGCCAUCUACUCACCAUCGCUUGUGUGUUUGGCACAUUUUUCAGAAUGCAGCAAUCCAUCUUUCAAGUGUUUUUUCGAGUUUUAAGAACACAUUUGCAGUUGAUUUUAGUCGUUGUGUGUACGACCUUGAAGAAGAAUCGGAAUUCCUUGAGGCAUGGAAUGAAAUGUUAGAGAAAUACAGCUUACAAGAUAAUCAAUGGUUAACAAGUAUGUUUUCUCUAAGGGAAAAAUGGGCAUUGGUAUAUGAAAGAAAUACAUUUUGCGCUGAUAUCAUUACAACUCAACGAGGUGAGUGCAUGAAUGCCGUUGUGAAACAUUAUGUAAAUUACAAAUACAACAUUGUUGAGGUGUUCCAUCAUUUUCAAAGGUUGAUAGAUGAUCGACGCGAGAAAGAGGCUGCAGAAGAUUUAAAAAAUGCUCAAAGUUCUCCUGUCAUGACUUUUCCAUUAGAAACACUAAAGCAUGCAGCUGCCGUAUAUACACAUAAGAUAUUUGCACUAUUUAGCGAUGAGUUGAGGAAGGCAUUUGAAAGCAAGAUCGAGAGUGAGAGUGAACUUGGAAGUUCUAGGAUAUAUAAGGUUAGACCACUUGAUCGGGCUAAUGCACAUAUUGUCACAUAUGAUUCCAUUGAAGGUUCCAUUUCUUGCAGCUGUAGAAAGUUUGAAUUCUCGGGUAUUUUAUGCUCACAUAGUUUAAAAGUCUUUUCAUUAAUGAAUGUCAUUCAUAUACCUGAUGAAUAUAUCUUAAAGCGAUGGACCAAACAUGCUAAGAGUGGGAUGACAAGAGUUUGCAAGGAAGGAGUUGUCGUUGUUGAUGAAAAAACCCGAAAGAAACAACGAUAUAAAGAGUUAUGCAAUUCAUUCAUACAAUUGGCAGCCAAGGCAGCCGAGAGUGAAGAUAGUUAUGCUUAUGCCAUGGAAUGUCUCUUGAAGAUGGGAAACGACAUUGAUGGAAUGGUAGAGAAGGGAAAAAAUGUUACUGUUAAGGCAAAGAAGGUCGGAGAUGUAAAAGACUGAAGAAUCUUUGGAACAAGCUAUCAGUAAAAAAUGGAAACCAAAAGCAAUAAAGAGUGGUUUGGAACAUGCUUCUUCUACGCAUGAAUUUGAAGGGAUUGCACUCAUCAAUGAUGAGUACUGGAACUUACCUUACACUGCUUUUGAUCCUCAAAGUACAUCAUAAAUUUGGUGUGGACAGAGAUGCAAGCUUGCUUCAAAUGAAGAAGAGCAAACUAUCUGGAUUAUUGUUUUGCUAUUUUUGAAUUUUUCAUGCACAAAACUAGAAUUUUAUUGAGCUUGAACUGGAAAAAAUUUGAUGAACUCAAUUAGUUUGUUGUGAACUAUUUUUAAAUUUUAUGGUCAAUUUCAUGAUUUCAAUAUAUUUGCUGCUUGGUUGGAGUAUAUUUGAAAUUUUGCAGUUGCUGCUUUAUGAGAAAAUAAUCCAGAAAUAGUGAUUCUUUAAUGGGAGUAAUUGAUUGUGCAGUGCUGUUCUUUUCAUAAACCGGAGUAUAUAUGUACUGGAGUAAUAUUGUGACUGAAGGAAUUUGUAAGUAGCAGUGAAUUAGUGCCUUUAGCAACUUUGAUUGUGUAAUGAAUAUGUACGGGAGUAUAUAUGUAAGGAAUUUGUAAGUGGCAGUGAAUUGAUUGUGUAGUGUAGCUCUUUUCAGAAAUUAGUUUUCAGAAACUUCAGCAGAGGGAGAACUAGCUUCUCGUUAGUGAAGACAUUGGAGAGAAAUUGUUUUGAAUGUAAAUCUGUUUUAGGAUAGUAAGAAUUUUAGUAGGCUUUUUUAUAUAUAUAAAAUUAUCCACAUGUCAAUAUUAUAUAUUAGUGUAUAAGGAGAUGGAGGAGGAAAUGGCAUAUGCGAUCCUUGCUGCUAUUCGAUUUAUUAUGCUUGUUUUGUUUUGAUUGGAAAAUGUGGAAGGCUUUCUCUCUCCUAUCCAGGAGGUAUAUACAGUUAGGGAUUCAAAUUGUUCAGUCUAAUCUUCUGAAUUAGGUAUAUCAUUAUAAGAUGCAAUAUCAGUCCAUUUCUAUUGAAAUACAGCUGACAUUUGAAGUUUGUUGGGAAAGGAUUGGCUUAUUUCAUGGAUUGGGAUGAAUUUAACUACCUUUAUUAUUAACAUUUGGUAUUGGCUUAUUUCAUGGAUAGGGAUGAAUUUACUACCACACAGCCCCAGACGCAACAAAUAGCUCAUAAUCUGGACUGCAUUAUUAGCUCUUUUCAUCAUCAUUUCGUUACUCUAUUUCAAUUUCGAAGAUCUUGGGCUUAUGUUGAUUUGGAAUACUUGUAGGUCUAUCUGGCAGCCAGCGAGCAUUGUACAUUGUAAGCUUCCUUUCCAUGGCACUUAUUUGUUCUCUUUAUAUAUAGAUUUUGACUUUUACAGUUAUUUUUUAUUUUUGUCUGGAUUUGUUCCCUAAGUUGAUUUGUGUGGUUUUAGAUAUUUCAGAAUGAUGAAUUUAUUUCUAAAUUUUGCUGGUUGUUUUGUGUUGCCGUCUAGAAGUAAGUAAUAGUAUCCUUUAUCAUCAUUUUAUUAUUAUUCAACACAAUUUUUUUUCUUUUGCUUGAAUCUUGAUCUUUUAUUGCAGAUAUGCACAGAGAAGAAAACCACAUUAUCUGUUGAAGACAUCAUUUCUUUGAUUGAUAAUAAGUGUGAUGGAGUUAUUGGACAAUUGACUGAGGAUUGGGGGGAGAGAUUGAUUAGUGCAUUGAGCAGAGCGGGUUGGGCUGUAGGAUACAACAACGUUGAUGUUGAUGCUGCUAAUAAAUAUGCUGUUGCUGUCGGAAAUGGUAACUAAUUUAUUAGAUCAACGAAAUGUGAAAAAUAUGCAAGAAUAUGUUUGUUGUUGUUGAUGAUUAGGGAGUGCUGACAGAGACUACAGCAGAGUUAGCUGCUUCACUCUCUUUAGCUACCGCCAGAAGAAUUGUGGAGGCUGGUGAAUUCAUGAGGAGUGGCUUGUAUGAUGGAUGGCUUCCUCAUUUCUUUGUUGGGAACUUACUAAAAGGACAAACUUUGGAGCAGGUCACAUUGGAUCUGCCUAUGCAAGAAUGAUGGGUUCAAGAUGAACUUGAUCGACUUUGAUCUCUACCAGUCCACUCGUCCGGAGAAGUUCGCUACUGCCUAUGGGGACUUCCUCAAGGCGAAUGGAGAGGCGACGAUGUAUCAUCUGGUGAAUAAGGAGAGGCCGGUGAUGAUGAAGAAGGCAAGUUGCAAUAGUGCGAGAGAAAGCGGAUACGAGGGCAGUAGUUAGGGAACAACCGAUGGAAGAACAAAUGAUGCAUCUUUUAUUAGUUAUUAUCAUCAUUUUAUGGGAAUACGAUUUUUAUUAUUUUACUUAAAUAAGUGCUGUGAAUCUGUGAUAUAGUUUUAUAAAUGAGUAAAGAUAUUCAGAAAACUUGGAA